Molecule: RNA transcript, 3450 nt
Organism: Zalophus californianus (California sea lion)
Lineage: Eukaryota; Metazoa; Chordata; Mammalia; Carnivora; Otariidae
Gene: C4H1orf216
Gene name: chromosome 4 C1orf216 homolog
Exons: 3
Source: RefSeq, a predicted model, not a curated record
GGAUGAAGCUGGCUCAGAACCCUGUGGCUGCCGCCUUAAGGAUUUAUCCCGCAAGAAGGAAGCCAUUUGAAAGGCUUUAAGCAGGGGCUGGUGACAUGAUCGGAUUUUUCAUUUUGAAAAUGUCACAGUAUCUGCAGUGACGCAAAGCGAUCCGAGGGACCCAGUGGAUGCAGUUAGAAGAUAAACCUGACCCGGCAGGCCUCGGUCGAGGCUGCAGGAGGCGGGGGAGUCGGUUCGGGCGCUCGGGCUGCACCCGCUGCUAGCUCCGCGGAACCCCGAACCGGCCCACGUGGGCCCGGCCGCCCCGCCCCGCCGCGCUGACGCCGCCCGACUCCGGAGUCCAGGCCUGGGGCUGGCCGCGCCGUCCGGGAGCCCCGCACCCCACGCCCGGCCCACGGGCCUCCCCAGGCCAGGCCGAGGGACACCCCCCCUCCCCCGCUAGCCCCGAGGGACGAGUUCCCGCCACGGGGUCCACAGGAGCAGAGCCAGCCGCGCCGGGGCGGGCGCGUCCAGGCCACCAAAUGUUUGCCAUCCAGCCAGGGGUGGCUGAGGGGGGCCAGUUCCUGGGGGGUCCGCCGGGAGUAUGUCAGCCGGAGCUCCAAACAGACAGCAACUCUAACUUCAUGGUGAGUGCCAAAGAUGCCAAUGAGAAUUGGCAUGGGAUGCCAGGCCACGUGGAGCGCAUCCUGAUGAGGAGCUCCUCUGAGUUGCCCUCUGACAACCAGGUCUUCCAGGCCCCUGGACUCCCCGAGGGGGAGGUGCGCAGCCCACCAGAGGGGGCAGAAAUCCCCGGAGCUGAGCUUGAGAAGUUGAGUGGUGCCAGCCCAGUGUGCUCCCCGCUGGAGGACAAUGGCUACGCCAGCAGCUCCCUGAGCACCGACAGCCGCAGCAGCAGUCCUGAGCCUGCCUGUGGGACCCCUCGAGGCCCGGGCCCUCCAGAUGCCCUUCUGCCCUCGGUGGCCCAGGCUGUGCAGCAGCUGCAGGCUCAGGAGCGCUACAAAGAGCAGGAAAAGGAGAAGCACCACGUGCAUUUGGUGAUGUACCGCCGCCUGGCCCUGCUGCAGUGGAUCCGGGGCCUGCAGCACCAGCUGGUAGACCAGCAGACCCGUCUGCAGGAGAGCUUCGACACCAUCCUGGACAACCGAAAGGAGCUUAUCCGCUGUCUCCAACAGAGGGCAGCCCCAUCCGGGCCCCAGGAGCAGGGCUAAGGGUGUGCCUCCACAGGAGUGCAGGGGUAUAUGUCCAUAUUUGCAGGCAUGUGUGUGGUUGUGCACAAGUAAGUACGUGAUUAUUUGCUGGUAUGAGUGCAGGGUCCCAUUGCUCCGGAGAGAGGGCUAGCCUGCAGGAUUUAUCGGAGGGUUGUGGCUGAUCCAUUCCCCUGAGAUUUCCCAGGCCACCUGUCCACCCUCUCCCCAUCACUCCUCUCAGACUUUGCUCUGCUAAGGCUGUUGUCCCUGAUGGUGGAUUUGCUGUGGGAAGUGUGGUGGCAGCUCUGGCCUGCCAUGGCUUUUUGGCUACAAUUUUGCCAGGCGACUGGUAGAGAAUUAGUAGGAGGGAGGGGAGCUGGGGUUGGUGAUCAACACUGUGGCAGGGAUGGGGCGGGAUGGGAUCAGAGAAGAAGAUAAAGUCCCACUUGAACUCUGCCUUGGGGCACAUGGGAGAUGGGGAUGGGGGAGAUGACAGUGGCAGAACCCUGUGAAGAAUAGGAGAAAGGGAAUUCUAAAACGUCACUUGGAAACAAACCACACUUCUCGACGGCAAAGGAGCGGUUGCAGACCAUAUUGAUUUAAGCUUCUGAUGAAAGCGGAUGUACGCUUAUACGCUUGCAAGGAACAGACAAGGUGCUCCAAGACUGCUGGGGAAAAAUAAUCUCACUUUCUUCUCUGUGCCUCUACUUGCUGUCCCUCUCGGGCUUUAGCAACACUGGAUGUUAAAUUAGUUUGGUCCGUUUUCCUGAAAUCAGGCUGUCUAGGCCCAGAGGAGCCAUAGUCGGCUUUCCAGGUGGGCAGAGGCCAUUGUCAGCCGAGCCUCUGGAAGCUCUUAGGACGCUGGGUCAUAACCCCUUCCUUCACUGCAUGGUCCUUUCGGUGGGGGUUGACUGGCUCCAGCAGAGGCUCCGUGAAAUGGAGAGUGGGUGAAUUCUGGGGAGAACUAGGGACUAAGGUAGCCAAGCUCUCUGCUUUGCUUUUGGGAGCCAUGAGGAUGCAAGAUCCUGAUGGUGAGCAGUGGCAUGAUGCUGAGUCUCCCUAUCUGCAAAAUGGGGGUGUUCUUCCUCUCUCUAAAGAGUUCUAUCCCUGACAGUGGGUGAAGGGCAUAUUAGUUAGGUUGAAGCAAUGGUCCUGGGGAGUUUUGUGUCUAGCCCUUGCGUGUUGAGUAUGAACCUGACCUCUGGGCCAAGCCAGGAUGAAUAAACUGGGGCAGAGGAAUGCAUUUCUUGGGUUUGUGUUUCUAUUCUACCCAUUGUCUGGUGGCCUCUUUUCCACACCAUGUGAGCUGCCCUUUUGAGCAGAGUUCUGGGCUGGGAGCUAGGGGGCAGACGGGAGGAAAGACAGACAGGAGGAAAGUCACUGGGGAGGAGUAAUUCAGCCUUCUGUGGCUGAUGGGGGUGACAAGAAGUUUCUCCUCAGGGGCCUCUUGGUCUGACAGGGGGGACUUGGCCUCAGCCUGAGAGCCCUGUGUGGGAUUGCCCUUGUCCUAAGGCACCUUUGGGCCUGAAGGUUGGUGGGGGGGAAGUAGGCAUUGAUGGUGAGGGAUACAUAUGCUCUCUCCCUCCCCACCCUCACACUCCUACUCAACCCUGCCCUAGAACCACCACUUCCCUGAAGGGUGCCCUGACGGCAAAAGACUUGAGUUAGGCUCCUCACAUGGUUCUGACAGAUGUAGUUAUAGUGCAUGUCUAUGACUUCAGAUAUUUACUCUGCCAAUCUAGACCAGACCUUUUCUUUUACAUGGGUUUGUAUGAUGACUUAAUGAUUAGUUUCUCAAAAAUUCACUGUAUAAAGAAAGGUAUCUAUUGCUGCAUAAGAAAUUACCUUAAAACUUAGGGACUUAAAAUAAUACACAUUUGUUAUCUCAUGAUUCCUGUAGGUCAGGAAUCUCUCACAAGGCUGCAAUCAAGAUGUCAGUCUAGGCUCUGUGGUCUUAUUUGUUGGGAGCAUUCAGUUCCUCGAGGCAGGUCAUUUUCAGUUCCUUGCCAUGUGGGUUCUUCCAACAUGGCAACUCACUUCAUCAAAGUAUGCAAGCCAAGAAAGUGAUAGAGUACUAGCAAGACAGAGGACAUUAGUUUCUGCAACCUACUCAUGGAAGGGAUAACCCCUCGAUGUUGUCAUAUUCUAUUGGUUAAAAGCAAGUUACUCAAGGGGCACCUGGGUGGCCUAGUUGGUUAAGCAUCCAACUUGUGAUUUCAGCACAAGUCAUGAUCUCAUGGGUCAUGGGAUUGAACCCACGUGG